Molecule: ribosomal RNA, 393 nt
Filed under: uncultured bacterium
Lineage: Bacteria
Description: partial 16S ribosomal RNA
Rfam family: Bacterial small subunit ribosomal RNA
Source: RNAcentral
AUACGGAGGAUGCGAGCGUUAUCCGGAUUUAUUGGGUUUAAAGGGAGCGUAGGUGGGAUAUUAAGUCAGCUGUGAAAGUUUGGGGCUCAACCUUAAAAUUGCAGUUGAUACUGGUUUCCUUGAGUACGGUAUAGGUGGGCGGAAUUCGUGGUGUAGCGGUGAAAUGCUUAGAUAUCACGAAGAACUCCGAUCGCGAAGGCAGCUCACCGGGCCGGAACUGACACUGAUGCUCGAAAGUGCGGGUAUCAAACAGGAUUAGAUACCCUGGUAGUCGGCACAGUAAACGAUGAAUACUCGCUGUUUGCGAUACACUGUAAGCGGCCAAGCGAAAGCGUUAAGUAUUCCACCUGGGGAGUACGCCGGCAACGGUGAAACUCAAAUGAAUUGGCGGGG